CAGUCGCCGCGGUAAUACGAAGGGUGCAAGCGUCAAUCGGAUUUACUGGGCGUAAAGGGCGCGUAGGUGGUUAUUUAAGUGAGAUGUGAAAGCCCCGGGCUUAACCUGGGAACUGCAUCUUAUACUGGGUAACUGGAGUGCAGUAGAGGGUAAUGGAAUUUCCGGUGUAGCGGUGAAAUGCGUAGAUAUCGGAAGGAACACCAGUGGCGAAGGCAAUCCCCUGGACCUGUACUGACGCUCAUGCACGAAAGCGUGGGGAGCAAACAGGAUUAGAUACCCCUGUAGUCCCUGUCUCUUAUAC
This 301-nucleotide ribosomal RNA is filed under the name uncultured bacterium. Its description in RNAcentral is "partial 16S ribosomal RNA". It matches the Rfam family "Bacterial small subunit ribosomal RNA", at positions 509 to 807 of the family's 1533-position model. The record is from RNAcentral.